UACGGAGGGUGCAAGCGGUGUCCGGAUUUAUUGGGUUUAAAGGGUGCGUAGGCGGCUAUUUAAGUCAGCGGUGAAAGACUUCGGCUCAACCGGAGCAGUGCCAUUGAUACUGGAUAGCUUGAGUGUUGGAAGGGUACAUGGAAUUGAUGGUGUAGCGGUGAAAUGCAUAGAUACCAUCAGGAACACCGAUAGCGAAGGAAUUGUACUGGCCAACAACUGACGAUGAGGCACGCAAGUGUGGGGAUCAAACAGG
Molecule: ribosomal RNA, 253 nt
Filed under: uncultured bacterium
Lineage: Bacteria
Description: partial 16S ribosomal RNA
Rfam family: Bacterial small subunit ribosomal RNA
Source: RNAcentral